Molecule: long non-coding RNA, 703 nt
Filed under: Monodelphis domestica (gray short-tailed opossum)
Lineage: Eukaryota; Metazoa; Chordata; Mammalia; Didelphimorphia; Didelphidae
Description: lncRNA (ENSMODG00000038568.1)
Source: RNAcentral
AUCAAUCUAUUUCCUAACCCCAUUCCUCCCUCACUCCCUCCCUUAACCAACCUCUCCCUUUUGCCUCCCCCACCUCCCAAAUUUUCUUAAAGCCUAUGAUUCUCUCCUCCCUCCUGAGUGAACUAUAAAGAUGCUACAGUUGCUUUCUCAGUCAGGGGGUUUAUUGGGAUAACAGGAUGGGAAACUGAGAGAUGUGGGGAACCAGGACAAUAGCCAAACUUCAGUACUUGUCUGUGAGUAUUUAACAAAGAGUGUGGAUAAAAGGAGGUCAUAUGUCUUAACAUAUGUCAAGCGUUGCAACCUUGAGUCUCACACUAGGUUCAAGUCCUUUGUAAUGGCUUAGAAGUACCUCAAUCCUACCUGGAUUGGUUUUUUUUUAUCUCUCUUUAUUACCUCCUCAAGUAAGUCUUUUAAACAUCUAACUCAGCAGUUCAAAACACAUCUGCAAGAUCAGGUGAGUAUAAAACAUUAUUUUUUUCUCUUUUCUCCUUAAUUUGAAUUGAACACAACCAUUUUUUAACCUUAAGUGGCAGGGCCAUGGCAAGGAAACUGUUUCCAAAUCUCCCUUACCUUAUGGAACAAACAACCCAGUUAGCCAACCCUCACUGACAAUACUAGCUGGCUAGAUUACUCUUAACUAGUGGUGAGAAAGACCCAGAGAAAGUUGCUCAGGGUCUCCUAGCUAGUAAGUGUCUGAGGCCAG